UGCAGAGGUCUCAAGCGUUGUUCGGAUUCAUUGGGCGUAAAGGGUGCGUAGGCGGUGAGGUAAGUCGGAUGUGAAAUCCCGGGGCUCAACCCCGGAACUGCAUUCGAUACUGCUUUACUUGAGGACUGGAGAGGAGAUUGGAAUUCACGGUGUAGCAGUGAAAUGCGUAGAUAUCGUGAGGAAGACCAGUGGCGAAGGCGAAUCUCUGGACAGAUCCUGACGCUGAGGCACGAAGGCUAGGGGAGCAAACGGG
RNAcentral lists this ribosomal RNA (253 nucleotides) under uncultured bacterium. RNAcentral's name for it is "partial 16S ribosomal RNA". It matches the Rfam family "Bacterial small subunit ribosomal RNA", at positions 524 to 776 of the family's 1533-position model. The record is from RNAcentral.